CAAACCUCUCUACUCGGGGAAAUUUCCCUAUGGAAAAUACAAAUCCCCAAUUACUACCCAACAUGUGCAAGAUAUAAAACCUUACUGAGCGCUCUGGAUCUGCAUGAGAUGUUACAAAUUACCAGGCUCACAGCAUGCUGUGUGGAGAUUCGGGAGCAGAAAAGGCAGGGAGAAAAGAGAAGAAAAAGCCCCACUGUGGUUGCUUUCAAUGUCCGAAGUCAAGUAACUUUAAAGAGGUUUUCUUGAUUUCUUUUUCCUGUGGCCUCUUCAAUGAUAAAGGCAUUUAGAAGACCAGAAUAAGAAAAAAAUGAAAAAUAUUGAUCUUCUAAA
Non-coding RNA from Rattus norvegicus (Norway rat), 330 nucleotides. NCBI's taxonomy places the organism in Eukaryota, Metazoa, Chordata, Mammalia, Rodentia, Muridae. The record is from RefSeq and is a predicted model, not a curated record.